This 73-nucleotide transfer RNA is filed under the name Pseudaminobacter salicylatoxidans. It matches the Rfam family "tRNA". Rfam says of the family: Transfer RNA (tRNA) molecules are approximately 80 nucleotides in length. Their secondary structure includes four short double-helical elements and three loops (D, anti-codon, and T loops). The record is from Rfam by way of RNAcentral. Lineage: Bacteria; Pseudomonadati; Pseudomonadota; Alphaproteobacteria; Hyphomicrobiales; Phyllobacteriaceae. RNAcentral also lists the same sequence under 5 other names.
AGGGGUAUAGCUCAGUUGGUAGAGCGGCGGUCUCCAAAACCGCAGGUCACAGGUUCGAGCCCUGUUGCCCCUG